This 77-nucleotide transfer RNA is filed under the name Desulfobulbus propionicus. RNAcentral's name for it is "tRNA-Arg". It matches the Rfam family "tRNA". From Rfam's summary of the family: Transfer RNA (tRNA) molecules are approximately 80 nucleotides in length. The record is from RNAcentral. Lineage: Bacteria; Pseudomonadati; Thermodesulfobacteriota; Desulfobulbia; Desulfobulbales; Desulfobulbaceae.
GGGCAAUUAGCUCAGUUGGAUAGAGCGCCAGCCUCCGGAGCUGGAGGCCACAGGUUCGAAUCCUGUAUUGCCCACCA